RNAcentral lists this ribosomal RNA (339 nucleotides) under uncultured bacterium. RNAcentral's name for it is "bacterial SSU rRNA". It matches the Rfam family "Bacterial small subunit ribosomal RNA", at positions 29 to 369 of the family's 1533-position model. The record is from RNAcentral.
AUUGAACGCUGGCGGCAUGCCUUACACAUGCAAGUCGAACGGCAGCACGGGGGCAACCCUGGUGGCGAGUGGCGAACGGGUGAGUAAUGCAUCGGAACGUGCCCCGUAGCGGGGGAUAACCAGUCGAAAGACUGGCUAAUACCGCAUACGCUCCACGGAGGAAAGCAGGGGAUCGCAAGACCUUGCACUAUGGGAGCGGCCGAUGCCCGAUUAGCUAGUUGGUGAGGUAAAGGCUCACCAAGGCGACGAUCGGUAGCUGGUUUGAGAGAACGACCAGCCACACUGGGACUGAGACACGGCCCAGACUCCUACGGGAGGCAGCAGUGGGGAAUUUUGGAC